This 442-nucleotide ribosomal RNA is filed under the name uncultured bacterium. Its description in RNAcentral is "partial 16S ribosomal RNA". It matches the Rfam family "Bacterial small subunit ribosomal RNA", at positions 338 to 795 of the family's 1533-position model. The record is from RNAcentral.
CCUACGGGGGGCAGCAGUGGGGAAUAUUGCACAAUGGGGGAAACCCUGACCCAGCAACGCCGCGUGAGGGAAGACGGUCUUCGGAUUGUAAACCUCUUUUAUCAGGGAAGACAAAAGGGAGGGACCUGCAGAAGUAGCCACGGCUAACUACGUGCCAGCAGCCGCCGUAAUACGUAGGGGGCAAACGUUAUCCGGGAUUACUGGGUGGAAAGGGGGUGUAGGCGGGGUUGCAAGUCAGAUGUGAAAAUUAUGGGCUCAACCCAUAACCUUGGUCUGAAAAUACUGAUCUUGAGAGUGGGGGAGGUAAACGGAAUUCCGGGUGUAGCGGUGAAAUGCGUAGAUAUCGGGAGGAACACCAGUGGCGAAGGCGGUUUACUGGACCACAACUGACGCUGAGACGCGAAAGCGUGGGGAGCAAACAGGAUUAGAUACCCCGGUAGUC